AUGUAUAUUUACAAAUAUGACAUAAUUUUAAUCCUCUCUUUUAUUUGGCAGGACCAUCAAUCAAAAAUGACAAACCAGCGAGAAUCCCUGGUACCAACAGUCUUGUCUGCAUCAUCAUUGGCUCUUAUACUUGCCUGGAUAGAGAAUUUGUCCUUUUUUAAAAGAUAAAGUGGUGUAUUACCUUUUUCAGGUAAGUAAACUAUGUAUAUGAGUGUGUGUGUGUGUGUACACACAUAUAUUCAGUACAUACACAUAUAUUCAGUAUGUAUCUUUUAUCUUUUAAAAUGUAUGUAUUGGACUUAGAAUAUUUUUUUCUUGGCUAGUGAAAAUCCUUUUCUUCCAGAUGCCUAUUUUAAUGAAAAAGUAUAUAUUAAAUAUAUUUUUUUUUUAAAAAAUGAAGGCCUUUAUUAUGUAACACUGUGUUCUAGACAUCAGAGACAUAAUAAGGACUUCUAGAAACCACCCAUUGAAAUGCUUUAAUAAAUACCUCAUAUAUAUAUACUAUUAGUUUACUAAUUUAAAAGCAGAGAGAACCAGGAGUGUUGAAAUAAAGUUUUUUCCAUUUAGAAACAAUGACAAUUUGUCUAUCAAUGUCUGAUUAUCUCAAAAUGACCACACAUUUCUCCCCCCCUUUGGGUUCUCUAAAAUAAUUAUUUUUAUAACUAGAGGUUAUUUAUUAAGAUAAUUACCUACUAUAAUUAUGUUGCUUUGAUUAGUUUUAUAAUAAGCCUCAUUUUAUUCCUUUAGGUAUCAUUUUAUAUAUUCUUUAAUAUUAUUUUAUAAAAUAGAGGUUUUGUCUGGUUUAGGGAAAUACAUUUUCUUUUUUGAUUCCUAGACAAUUUUGGAAUAGCAAUAGGGCAAAACUAAGUCCUAUGGCUCCUGCUUUGAAGGGAGAAAAGAGUUAUCUUACAUAGGCUAAAAGAAAACUUGAUAUUUAUACUAUUAACAAAUUGUGAAAAAUUUGAUUAAUGCCUGAAUCUGUGUAUUCAAUUUUCUAACUGCUAUUUUCUGGGAUUUUUCUGAGAAUAAUCUUUGUUUCUAGGAACAAUCAAUUUCUCUUCCCCUCAAAAAAACAAAGUCAGAUAAGGAAAACAGAAUUAUUAAUACAUUUUAACAGAGUAAAACCAAAUGUGAUUUGUUUGGGCAACUCUGAAUUAGAUUAGGUUAUUUUUUAAAUAGUACUUGCUUAAUAUACUGAUAUGUAAUAUAUCAAAACAUUUAUGUUGUUAAAAUAUGUGCUGAUGCAACUUAGAAACAUAUUCACUGCAGUAAAUUAAAUCCAUGUACUUGUGUUAACAUAGCUUGGAUUUUGAGUCUUUAAAUAUUCUUCCUAUCUUUCAAAUUUUAUAAUGAGUAUUUUAUUUGUUAAAAUGGAUACAGGAGGAAGGUAAAAGUUCUGAAGCAUAGCAAUAGGUAAACUUCUACCCCUGGACUCAAAUACUGGAGCUUGACCAGUGCCUAUGACUGUAUAUGUGAAUUCCCCCAAUUCCCUAUCCCUCUGUUACACACACAGAACGAAUACCCGAGUUUUUUAUUUAUCACUGCUUUAACGAAAAAGAAAAUACAUUUGCCAUUGUUCCAGAUUAUCUUUCUACAAUAUAGCAUCAAUUGUCUCUUCUCAUAUGUUGCCUGUCUCAUCAGAAAGAAACCUAGACCUAUGUUUCUUGGCACAACUAUCAAUAGCGUGUUGGGUUAAACUUUGAUAUUGAGAAGCAUGUAAUAUUGAGAAGGCUGAAGGAAACCCCAUUAAUCUCCCAAAGGAGGGUUUUUAACUGCAUAUAUGUAUUUUAAUAUAAAUCAUCCA
Ursus thibetanus thibetanus is the source of this 1804-nucleotide long non-coding RNA. Lineage: Eukaryota; Metazoa; Chordata; Mammalia; Carnivora; Ursidae. The record is from Ensembl.